RNAcentral lists this transfer RNA (61 nucleotides) under Bambusicaliscelis fanjingensis. Its description in RNAcentral is "tRNA-Val". The record is from RNAcentral. Lineage: Eukaryota; Metazoa; Arthropoda; Insecta; Hemiptera; Caliscelidae.
UCAAAAAAUUUGUAGUUUUAUUUACAAUAAAAUUUGUGAUUUAUUUUAAAUCUUUUUUGAU